RNAcentral lists this ribosomal RNA (587 nucleotides) under uncultured archaeon. Its description in RNAcentral is "bacterial SSU rRNA". It matches the Rfam family "Archaeal small subunit ribosomal RNA", at positions 1 to 594 of the family's 1478-position model. The record is from RNAcentral.
UUUUCGGUUGAUCCUGCCGGACCUGACUGCUAUCGGAUUGGUACUAAGCCAUGCGAGUCGUUGUAGCAAUACAAGGCGGACUGCUCAGUAACACGUAGUUAACUUAACCUAUGGAUGGGAAUAACCUCGGGAAACUGAGAAUAAUACCCAAUGGGCCACAGUGCCUGGAAUGGCCUGUGGUUGAAAUGAUUUAUCGCCGUAGGAUAGGACUGCGGCCUAUCAGCUUGUUGGUGAGGUAAUGGCCCACCAAGGCUAUAACAGGUACGGGCUCUGAGAGGAGGGGCCCGGAGAUGGGUACUGAGACACGGACCCAGGCCCUAUGGGGCGCAGCAGGCGAGAAACCUUUGCAAUGUGCGAAAGCACGACAAGGUUAAUCCGAGUGUCUCCUGCUAAAGGAGUCUUUUGUCAGUUGUAGAAUCACUGGUGAAUAAGGGGUGGGCAAGUUCUGGUGACAGCCGCCGCGGUAAAACCAGCACCUCGAGUGGUCAGGAGGUUUAUUGGGCCUAAAGCAUCCGUAGCCGGUUGCAUAAGUUUUCGGUUAAAUCUAUGCGCUUAACGUAUAGGCCGCCGAAAAUACUGUGCAGCUA